This 574-nucleotide ribosomal RNA is filed under the name Scalptia bicolor. Its description in RNAcentral is "partial 12S ribosomal RNA". It matches the Rfam family "Bacterial small subunit ribosomal RNA", at positions 518 to 1391 of the family's 1533-position model. Lineage: Eukaryota; Metazoa; Mollusca; Gastropoda; Neogastropoda; Cancellariidae. The record is from RNAcentral.
CGGUUAAACUAGAGGGCCUAGUCAUAUUAUUAAGGUAAAAAGGUGGUUAAACGUUGAGUAUUAUCUAUUGGCUAUAUAAACUACAAUAUUAGAGGUGUAAUUCGUGUAUUGGGUUAAUGGGAGAAUCUAAGAUAGUCAUUUUGUUGAGGCCACUACAGCUUUGAGGGAAACUGGGAUCUGGUACCCCAUUAUUCUUAGCUGUAAAUAGGCAUAACUCGGAGCUUACCGGAGUACUACGAACAAUUAGUUUAAAACUCAAAGGGCUUGGCGGUGUUUUAGACCUAUUAGGGGAACCUGUUUCGUAAUCGAUGAUCCGCGUUAUACCUUACCCCUUAUUGCAAUCAGCCUGUACACCGUUGUCAUCAGGUAACUUUUUAGAUUAAUAAAAGUUAGCGAUAGAACCUAUCAUUAGUUCUUAUGUCAAAUCAAGGUGCAGCUUACGAAGGGGGAGGGAUGGGUUACAAUUAAAAUUUAUAAAACGGAUCAGGUAAUGAAAUUUGCUUGUGAAGGUGGACUUAAAAGUAAAGCUAUCUAUAAAAAUAGUUUGAAUGUGGCUCUGGAAUGUGUACAAACC